Molecule: unclassified non-coding RNA, 329 nt
Filed under: soil metagenome
Description: partial contains 5.8S ribosomal RNA, internal transcribed spacer 2, and large subunit ribosomal RNA
Rfam family: 5.8S ribosomal RNA (bases 1-120)
Source: RNAcentral
GAUGAAGAACGUAGCGAAAUGCGAUAAGUAAUGUGAAUUGCAGAAUUCAGUGAAUCAUCGAAUCUUUGAACGCACAUUGCGCCCCCUGGUAUUCCGGGGGGCAUGCCUGUCCGAGCGUCAUUACAACCCUCAAGCUCAGCUUGGUGUUGGGCCCCGCCGCCCCGGCGGGCCCUAAAGUCAGUGGCGGUGCCGUCCGGCUCCGAGCGUAGUAAUUCUUCUCGCUCUGGAGGUCCGGUCGUGUGCUCGCCAGCAACCCCCAAUUUUUUUCAGGUUGACCUCGGAUCAGGUAGGGAUACCCGCUGAACUUAGGCAUAUCAAUAGGCGGAGGA